GUCUAUGGCCAUGCCACCCUGAAAAGCCCAAUGUCUGUUCUCAAAAGCUAAACCAGGUUGGGCCUGGUUAGUACUUGGAUGGGAGACCACCUAGAAAGACCAGGUCCUGUAGGCA
Molecule: ribosomal RNA, 115 nt
Filed under: Pteropus alecto (black flying fox)
Lineage: Eukaryota; Metazoa; Chordata; Mammalia; Chiroptera; Pteropodidae
Source: RNAcentral